GUGCCAGCAGCCGCGGUAAUACGUAGGGAGCAAGCGUUAUCCGGAAUUAUUGGGUGUAAAGGGUGCGUAGACGGGAAAGCAAGUUGGCUGUGAAAUCCCUCGGCUUAACUGAGGAACUGCAACCAAAACUACUAUUCUUGAGUGCAGGAGAGGAAAGCGGAAUUCCUAGUGUAGCGGUGAAAUGCGUAGAUAUUAGGAGGAACACCAGUGGCGAAGGCGGCUUUCUGGACUGUAACUGACGUUGAGGCACGAAAGUGUGGCGGAGCAAACAGGAUUAGAUACCCUGGUAGUCCACACUGUAAACGAUGGAUACUAGGUGUAGGGAAUAAUAUAUUUUCUGUGCCGAAAGCUAACGCAAUAAGUAUCCCACCUGGGGAGUACGGCCGCAAGGUUGAAACUCAAAGGAAUUGACGGGGGCCCGCACAAGCAGUGGAGUAUGUGGUUUAAUUCGAAGCAACGCGAAGAACCUUAGCCGGGGCUUGACAUAUGUAGGAAUAUUUAAGAGAUUAGAUAGCUCUUCGGAGUCUACAUACAGGUGGUGCAUGGUUGUCGUCAGCUCGUGUCGUGAGAUGUUGGGUUAAGUCCCACAAACGAGCGCAACCCCUAUUUCUAGUUGCCAGCAUGUAAAGAUGGGAACUCUAGAGAGGACUGCCGGUGAGAAAAUCGGAGGAAAGGUGGGGACGACGUCAAAUCAUCAUGCCCUUUAUGUCCUGGGCUACACACGUACUACAAUGGCCGUAACAAAGAGAAACGAAACAGCGAUGUAGAGUAAAACUUAAAAAGCGGUCUCAGUUCGGAUUGAAGGCUGCAAUUCGCCUUCAUGAAGUCGGAAUUGCUAGUAAUGGCAGGUCAGCAUACUGCCGUGAAUACGUUCCCGGGCCUUGUACACACCGCCCGU
RNAcentral lists this ribosomal RNA (898 nucleotides) under uncultured bacterium. RNAcentral describes it as "bacterial SSU rRNA". It matches the Rfam family "Bacterial small subunit ribosomal RNA", at positions 505 to 1397 of the family's 1533-position model. The record is from RNAcentral.